RNAcentral lists this transfer RNA (73 nucleotides) under Lactococcus phage phiL47. RNAcentral describes it as "tRNA-Asp". It matches the Rfam family "tRNA". From Rfam's summary of the family: Transfer RNA (tRNA) molecules are approximately 80 nucleotides in length. Their secondary structure includes four short double-helical elements and three loops (D, anti-codon, and T loops). Further hydrogen bonds mediate the characteristic L-shaped molecular structure. tRNAs have two regions of fundamental functional importance: the anti-codon, which is responsible for specific mRNA codon recognition, and the 3' end, to which the tRNAs corresponding amino acid is attached (by aminoacyl-tRNA synthetases). tRNAs cope with the degeneracy of the genetic code in two manners: having more than one tRNA (with a specific anti-codon) for a particular amino acid; and 'wobble' base-pairing, i.e. permitting non-standard base-pairing at the 3rd anti-codon position. The record is from RNAcentral. RNAcentral also lists the same sequence under 1 other name. Lineage: Duplodnaviria; Heunggongvirae; Uroviricota; Caudoviricetes.
GACUCAUUGGUGUAGCGGUUAUCACACUUGCCUGUCACGCAAGAGAGCAUGGGUUCGAAUCCCAUAUGGGUCG